This is a non-coding RNA of Macaca mulatta (Rhesus monkey), 1196 nucleotides long. NCBI's taxonomy places the organism in Eukaryota, Metazoa, Chordata, Mammalia, Primates, Cercopithecidae. The record is from RefSeq and is a predicted model, not a curated record.
UGAUCUCGUUGUCCGCCUGCCUCAGCCUCCCAAAGUGCUGGGAUUACAGGCGACACUACUUAUUUUUUUUGGAAUUCACUGUUUUCUGAGCUCAGCUUCGUAGUAGGAAAUGCACUCAUGAAAGUUAAAUGCAUUUUUCCAUUGGUUAAAAGCUUUAGUGGAGAAUGAAGCCCUUAAUCCGGGGAGUCUGCCCUCUCCUAUCUUUGUAUGAAAUUUUAUCUUUUAUCUUCUUGGUGCUAGGUGCUAGUGGUAGGCAGUUCAUUUGCUUCAGUUCAAAAGCAAAUCUAAGCACAUGAAAGGUAUCAUCUAGAGAAAUGGGUAAUGGGGAAACAAAUAAUGGGACUUUAAUAAAACAGUGUUUGAAGUUUUUUCAUGUGUGUUUGUACAUGUUUAUAUUAAAUAGAAUCCACAACGGAAAAAAGGUAUUUUAAGUUAUUUAAAUAAAAAUCUUUCUCUGUCUUUAAUACGUGAGCAAGUAGAUAUCACCUUAUAAGGAUUAGAUUGAUGACAGUUUUUUUCAUUUUUCCUCCUUAGGGGACAUGUGGUGGCAUCAUAGUUCUUUGCUGCCUUGAAUUAGGCAUAACCAUUUUUGUUUUGUUACCUCUGACUUGCAGCUUUUACGGAUAACUUACAUUGAAGAGACGGAAUCCUUGUGGGCCUAAACCCUACUGUCUGUAGCUGAGCGAAUAUAAGAGAACAACAUCUGGCCUAAUUUAUCUUUAGGCAAAGUUUAAUAAUGCUGAAUGGCAACCUCUGGGAAAAAAUCUAAGCAAGACUUGAUGUGAGUCCUGAUUUAGAGUUGGCUAAUAGAUACUACUUCUGGAUGGAUCAAGUGCAUAUUUAACAAAGAACUACAACCUGCUUCUCAGAAUUUUUGUUUAUUAAGAAUUUGGGUUGCCAGUGAUGCGGUUUUAGGAAUUGCUAUGGUUUUAUUAAUCUAAAGGAAGCAGGGUUGUACAUCCUGGAGAAGAUUAAUGAUUGGCCCUCUUUGUGUCCCCACCUCCAGCCAUCCCUCCUUCCCAUCUUUAAUAGGCAGCUCUUCAAGAAUUGCUUAUUCCUGAAGGAAUAUGACAGGAAUAUGUGAACUGUCAGCAAUAUAACAGCUUCCAUUGAAACCAAAGUGAGAAAGGGCAUUCUUCGGAAGAAGGAAGUGGGGAAUUGUGCACAGACAACAAUAAACUGAGUACAUACAUCAA